Molecule: ribosomal RNA, 483 nt
Filed under: uncultured bacterium
Lineage: Bacteria
Description: partial 16S ribosomal RNA
Rfam family: Bacterial small subunit ribosomal RNA
Source: RNAcentral
UUGAACGCUGGCGGCAUGCUUUACACAUGCAAGUCGAACGGCAGCGCGGGCUUCGGCCUGGCGGCGAGUGGCGAACGGGUGAGUAAUGCAUCGGAACGUGCCCAGUAGUGGGGGAUAGCCCGGCGAAAGCCGGAUUAAUACCGCAUACGACCUGAGGGUGAAAGCGGGGGACCGAAAGGCCUCGCGCUAUUGGAGCGGCCGAUGUCGGAUUAGCUAGUUGGUGGGGUAAAGGCUUACCAAGGCGACGAUCCGUAGCUGGUCUGAGAGGACGACCAGCCACACUGGUACUGAGACACGGCCCAGACUCCUACGGGAGGCAGCAGUGGGGAAUUUUGGACAAUGGGGGCAACCCUGAUCCAGCCAUGCCGCGUGCGGGAAGAAGGCCUUCGGGUUGUAAACCGCUUUUGUUCGGGAAGAAAUCCUCUGGGCUAAUACCCCGGGGGGAUGACGGUACCGGAAGAAUAAGCACCGGCUAACUACGUG